This 433-nucleotide ribosomal RNA is filed under the name uncultured bacterium. Its description in RNAcentral is "bacterial SSU rRNA". It matches the Rfam family "Bacterial small subunit ribosomal RNA", at positions 29 to 506 of the family's 1533-position model. The record is from RNAcentral.
ACGAACGCUGGCGGCAUGCCUAACACAUGCAAGUCGAACGCCUGUAGCAAUACAGGAGUGGCGCACGGGUGAGUAACGCGUGGGAACCUGCCUAGUGGUAAGGAAUAACCGCGGGAAACUGCGGCUAAUACCUUAUGAGCCCUACGGGGGAAAGAUUUAUCGCCAUUAGAGGGGCCCGCGUCCGAUUAGCUAGUUGGUGAGGUAACGGCUCACCAAGGCUCCGAUCGGUAGCUGGUCUGAGAGGAUGAUCAGCCACACUGGGACUGAGACACGGCCCAGACUCCUACGGGAGGCAGCAGUGGGGAGUAUUGGACAAUGGGGGCAACCCUGAUCCAGCAAUGCCGCGUGAGUGAUGAAGGCCUUAGGGUUGUAAAGCUCUUUCGACGGGGAAGAUGAUGACGGUACCCGUAGAAGAAGCCCCGGCUAACUUCGU